CAAGGUCUCGCCGAACUGCUCAGUAACACGUAGUCAACCUACUCUUAGAUGGAGGAUAAUCCCGCGAAAGUGGGGCUAAUACUCCAUAGUUGCCAGAUGCUGGAAUGCACUGGCAAUGAAAGCUCCGGCGUCUAAGAAUGGGACUGCGGCCUAUCAGGUUGUAGUGAGUGUAAAGUACUCACUAGCCUAUAACGGGUAGGGGACAUGAGAGUGUGAGCCUCGAGAUGCCUUCUGAGACAUGAAGGCAGGUCCUACGGGACGCAGCAGGCGCGAAAACUUUCCAAUUCGUUAGCGCGUGAGAAGGGAACCCUGAGUGGUUAUGCAAUGCAUAAUCUUUUCUUCAGUCCAAAUAACUGGAGGAAUAAGUGGUGGGUAAGACAGGUGCCAGCCGCCGCGGUAAUACCUGCGCCACAAAUGGUGAUCACGAUUAUUGGGUCUAAAGCGUCCGUAGCCGGUUUUAAAAGUUUCUGGUGAAAUCUGGCAGUUGACUGUCAGUCGUGCUGGAAAUACUGUAAGACUUGGGAUCGGGAAAGGACUGAGGUAUUCCAUGGGUAGGAGUUAAAUCCUUUAAUCCAUGGAGGACCACCGGUGGCGAAAGCGUCAGUCUGGAACGAGUCCGACGGUGAGGGACGAAAGCGUGGGGAGCAAAACGGAUUAGAUACCCGUGUAGUCCACGCUGUAAACUAUGCCCGUUUGGUGUCGCAAACCUUAAGUGGGUUUGCGGUGCCGGAGCGUAGGUGUUAAACGGGCCACCUGGGGAGUACGGCCGCAAGGCU
RNAcentral lists this ribosomal RNA (776 nucleotides) under uncultured archaeon. RNAcentral's name for it is "bacterial SSU rRNA". It matches the Rfam family "Archaeal small subunit ribosomal RNA", at positions 71 to 850 of the family's 1478-position model. The record is from RNAcentral.